This 407-nucleotide ribosomal RNA is filed under the name uncultured Actinomycetales bacterium. RNAcentral describes it as "partial 16S ribosomal RNA". It matches the Rfam family "Bacterial small subunit ribosomal RNA", at positions 355 to 774 of the family's 1533-position model. Lineage: Bacteria; Bacillati; Actinomycetota; Actinomycetes; Actinomycetales. The record is from RNAcentral.
UGGGGAAUAUUGGGCAAUGGAGGAAACUCUGACCCAGCGACGCCGCGUGAGGGAUGAAGGCCUUCGGGUUGUAAACCUCUUUCAGCAGGGAAUAAGCGAAAGUGAAGGUACCUGCAGAAGAAGCACCGGCUAACUAUGUGCCAGCAGCCGCGGUAAUACAUAGGGUGCAAGCGUUGUCCGGAAUUAUUGGGCGUAAAGAGCUCGUAGGUGGUCGAUCACGUCGGAUGUGAAAUUCUGAGGCUUAACCUCGGACCUGCAUUCGAUACGGGUUGACUAGAGUGUGGUAGGGGAGACUGGAAUUCCUGGUGUAGCGGUGGAAUGCGCAGAUAUCAGGAGGAACACCGAUGGCGAAGGCAGGUCUCUGGGCCAUUACUGACACUGAGGAGCGAAAGCGUGGGGAGCGAACA